GGAUGGAUGUCCGAGUGGUUUAAGGAACCGGUCUUGAAAACCGGCGUGCGUGGAAACGUACCGUGGGUUCGAAUCCCUCUCCAUCCGC
Molecule: transfer RNA, 88 nt
Filed under: Planctomycetales bacterium
Lineage: Bacteria; Pseudomonadati; Planctomycetota; Planctomycetia; Planctomycetales
Description: tRNA-Ser
Rfam family: tRNA
About the family: Transfer RNA (tRNA) molecules are approximately 80 nucleotides in length. Their secondary structure includes four short double-helical elements and three loops (D, anti-codon, and T loops). Further hydrogen bonds mediate the characteristic L-shaped molecular structure. tRNAs have two regions of fundamental functional importance: the anti-codon, which is responsible for specific mRNA codon recognition, and the 3' end, to which the tRNAs corresponding amino acid is attached (by aminoacyl-tRNA synthetases). tRNAs cope with the degeneracy of the genetic code in two manners: having more than one tRNA (with a specific anti-codon) for a particular amino acid; and 'wobble' base-pairing, i.e. permitting non-standard base-pairing at the 3rd anti-codon position.
Source: RNAcentral